RNAcentral lists this unclassified non-coding RNA (276 nucleotides) under sea anemone metagenome. RNAcentral's name for it is "partial contains small subunit ribosomal RNA and internal transcribed spacer 1". The stretch from base 1 to 154 matches the Rfam family "Eukaryotic small subunit ribosomal RNA", at positions 1678 to 1831 of the family's 1831-position model. The record is from RNAcentral.
GCUACUACCGAUUGAAUGGUUCGGUGAAAAUCUCGGACUGCGGCUUGGAUGCCUUCGGGCAACCAAGCUGUGGAAAGUUGUUUAAACCUCAUCGUUUAGAGGAAGGUGAAGUCGUAACAAGGUUUCCGUAGGUGAACCUGCAGAAGGAUCAAGAUCGGAAGAGCGACGGUUGGUGAAAGAGGGUAGAUCUCGGUGGUUGCCGUAUCAUUAAAAAAAAAAACAUGAACAGAAAUUCUUAGACUCAGACUAUCACAUCAUGCUUUGUCACUAUAUGUC